Molecule: long non-coding RNA, 277 nt
Filed under: Mus pahari (shrew mouse)
Lineage: Eukaryota; Metazoa; Chordata; Mammalia; Rodentia; Muridae
Description: lncRNA (MGP_PahariEiJ_G0002840.1)
Source: RNAcentral
GCAGAGUCCACAGCAGCCCAGAGCGCGCUCUCCACGAGGUCUCAUGCCCAGUGCCCAACAUGUAUGCAUUGGUAGCCAUACAGACACUUGUAUGUGCGGUAAGACCACAGUUUCCAACAAUAUAAACGUGCUCACUAGCACUGAACAAUCUAACUACAGAUGGGUGUGUACCAGGAUGCCAUUGCAACAGUGUCUAUGUUGGGCUCAGCACUGAACUAAGGGUCAAGACACAAAAUGUCAGAUGUCCCAGGAUUUGUCCUCAGAACUCCUGGCCUGG